This 1691-nucleotide ribosomal RNA is filed under the name Triticum aestivum (bread wheat). RNAcentral describes it as "partial small subunit ribosomal RNA". The record is from RNAcentral. Lineage: Eukaryota; Viridiplantae; Streptophyta; Magnoliopsida; Poales; Poaceae.
UUCGUAUGUCAUACGCAUGCACAAACGACGGCUUAUUUGCGAUCCCCUGUGUGAUCGAUUGUGCCAGAGUGCAUAAUUGAUCGAGCAACACGACCAGUACCGGCGCCGCGGCGUGCAGCAGUAGGAGUGCUCGAGGCCGAACCCGGUGCAGGAGGGCCAAAGGCUCGACCGCUUCGCGGAGCGGCACGUGGUGCUGAAAUGGCAGUGUUAGCAGUGAAUGCGGUCGGACAGGUGCGGGCCGGUGAGGAGCGGCGAGCGGAGGGAUGGCGGCCCUCAGAGGCAGCGCCGCGACGGCCUCCACAGGUAGCUGCUGGAGGGGCGGCUGCGCGUGAACCACUGAGCGUUGGAGUGGCAGUAGUCAACGCGGUACGGGGUCGAUGUGCUGGAUGACGCGAGGGAGGACCUGAGGGGCCGCCCCUAGUGGCGGAAACACUGGCUGUACGAGACAGGGCGCCGCGAGCGGUAGCCGUUCCUCUACCCAGACGGUCCCAUGCAGAAGAUGUGGAGGUCGGAGUACAGCAACAAUAGCAAAGAGAUGUAGGGCCUCGAGCGAUCCUGGUGGUGGACGCUCACGGCGCUGGAGGGCCUCGGGCACGACGAGGGCCCUACGCACGGAGAUGUGCCGCGGCUAGAGGAGCUCGGGGAGGUCUUGGCGAAGGCUGGGGCACAUGGUCGAGUACUAGCUGGAGCCCGCGUUGAUAGAGGAUCGCCUUCCGAAGUAGUAGUUGUGGUACCUACGCAACCUCGUGCUCUGCGACCACCGCAAGUUUCUCUAAAGACUGUUCCCGCACAUGGGAGGCCGCAUGCGGCACCCAGGUAAGUGUGCCGCCGCCACGGGGCUGAGGCUGCUCCAGUUCGUGUCGACGAAUGCCACCGACCUGUUGGUCGGCCCGCCGAGCCAGAACAUGCACAGGAAGCCGUCGCCACCGUGCGACAGGUGCCGCGUCUGCCGGCUCGACCGCCGACCCGACCUCCGCUCGCCCGUCUCCAAGGAGACCCACCACGUGGUGGGGUUGCUUUUCCUGUCGUCGCGCCGGAUGGAGCCGUGACGGCGAUGGCUACGGCUGGGCGACUCGAUAGACGGGCUACCUAAGCAGCUCUCCUACUUGCCAUGUCCCGAGGAACACGGUGACACCCGCGGCGUCCACCUCUAGGAAUUGGUGCAGCGGCACCCUCCCAAGUACAGAGUACCGUCUACCUUGAGGUGCGACCUCUGGCACCGCCGCCCGCACGGCUACCACCGCACCGGUGACAUGCGGCUCGUCUCCUACUUGCGCCACUACGACAGCAGCCUAGUCCACCCGGACCGAAACACCCUCUCCGGAGGGGAUCCAUUCCUGCCUCGCAAACAGGGUGUCCUCCUCCACCGCCGCGACCAGUCUCUCGAAUACCUUCCCCUCUUCCCGCGGCGCCGCGCCUUUUUCCGACCAGUGGAGGCCCUACUUCGGCUCUAACGAAGCCGCGGCCCACCCGGCGUCCUAGCUCGAGAGUGCCAUCACCGACCGUAUCAAAGGAACGUAGCCUUCUCGGUGCAACACAUUUGUCCUCCGAGGGAUUUUCUUGAUUUAUUCUCCGUACCACCGACUUCAAAUAAGAACUAAAUAUAUACGAACAUAGCUGACGAUACACAUAUGUAAAUUUAUAUCUUAUUAUGAAACAGAAACUACUAUAAUAAUAAUGUAUAGCAUUUC